CGACCAGACUCCUACGGGAGGCAGCAGUGGGGGAUAUUGCACAAUGGGGGAAACCCUGAUGCAGCGACGCCGCGUGAGCGAUGAAGUAUUUCGGUAUGUAAAGCUCUAUCAGCAGGGAAGAAAAUGACGGUACCUGACUAAGAAGCCCCGGCUAACUACGUGCCAGCAGCCGCGGUAAUACGUAGGGGGCAAGCGUUAUCCGGAUUUACUGGGUGUAAAGGGGGCGCAGACGGCGAUGCAAGCCAGGAGUGAAAGCCCGGGGCCCAACCCCGGGACUGCUCUUGGAACUGCGUGGCUAGAGUGCAGGAGGGGCAGGCGGAAUUCCUGGUGUAGCGGUGAAAUGCGUAGAUAUCAGGAGGAACACCGGUGGCGAAGGCGGCCUGCUGGACUGCAACUGACGUUGAGGCCCGAAAGCGUGGGAAGCAAACAGGAUUAGAUACCCCAGUAU
Molecule: ribosomal RNA, 448 nt
Filed under: uncultured bacterium
Lineage: Bacteria
Description: partial 16S ribosomal RNA
Rfam family: Bacterial small subunit ribosomal RNA
Source: RNAcentral